This 72-nucleotide transfer RNA is filed under the name Rattus norvegicus (Norway rat). It matches the Rfam family "tRNA". Rfam says of the family: Transfer RNA (tRNA) molecules are approximately 80 nucleotides in length. Their secondary structure includes four short double-helical elements and three loops (D, anti-codon, and T loops). The record is from Rfam by way of RNAcentral. Lineage: Eukaryota; Metazoa; Chordata; Mammalia; Rodentia; Muridae.
GGGGAUUUAGCUCAGUGGUAGAGCGCUUGCCUAGCAAGCACAACAAGGCCCUGGGUUCGGUCCCCAGCUCCG